RNAcentral lists this ribosomal RNA (498 nucleotides) under uncultured bacterium. RNAcentral describes it as "partial 16S ribosomal RNA". It matches the Rfam family "Bacterial small subunit ribosomal RNA", at positions 28 to 523 of the family's 1533-position model. The record is from RNAcentral.
GAUGAACGCUAGCGGCAGGCCUAAUACAUGCAAGUCGAACGGGAUUGAGGAGCUUGCUCCUCAUGAGAGUGGCGCACGGGUGCGUAACACGUAUGUAACCUACCUUAAUCAGGGGGAUAGCCUCUCGAAAGAGAGAUUAACACCGCAUAAAAUCACACUAUGGCAUCAUAGAAUGAUCAAAUAUUUAUAGGAUUAAGAUGGGCAUGCGGAACAUUAGCUAGUUGGUAAGGUAACGGCUUACCAAGGCUACGAUGUUUAGGGGAUCUGAGAGGAUGGCCCACCACACUAGUACUGAGACACGGACCAGACUCCUACGGGAGGCAGCAGUAAGGAAUAUUGGUCAAUGGACGGAAGUCUGAACCAGCCAUGCCGCGUGCAGGAAGACGGCCCUACGGGUUGUAAACUGCUUUUGUACCGGAAUAAACCUCUUUACGUGUAAGGAGCUGAAUGUACGGUAAGAAUAAGGAUCGGCUAACUCCGUGCCAGCAGCCGCGGUAA